Molecule: long non-coding RNA, 134 nt
Filed under: Chinchilla lanigera (long-tailed chinchilla)
Lineage: Eukaryota; Metazoa; Chordata; Mammalia; Rodentia; Chinchillidae
Description: lncRNA (ENSCLAG00000028433.1)
Source: RNAcentral
CUCAGAUCAGCCUAGACAUAGGUAGUCUCUCAUGGCUUCGAGCAAGCUAGUCAUCUGCUCCGCCAUUUUUGAAGGACCUUGGCUGUGCCUAACUUGUCUGAGAAAUAUAGAGAAGUUCCCCUGGGAGCCACUCC